RNAcentral lists this long non-coding RNA (830 nucleotides) under Musa acuminata (dwarf banana). Its description in RNAcentral is "long non-coding RNA (MACU_LNC003213)". Lineage: Eukaryota; Viridiplantae; Streptophyta; Magnoliopsida; Zingiberales; Musaceae. The record is from RNAcentral.
AUUCUAUCUUCUGAUGUCUUCAGAGUGGUGUUGUGGUGCUUUGGCAAGUUAAAGCCACAAGAUCAUGCAUCCCUGCUUUCCCUGCCUUCUCAGUAUCUUGUCUUGCAAUCAAAUUCACUACUGUGGUUGUUCUGUUGAAUUGAAUUUGACUGCCAAAGGUGAUCAACUUUCAACCAACGAAGCUACUGUUAUUUUUUAUCGAAUUCGUAUAUAAGCAUACAUGGAGAAAAUAAUUCAAUUAAUAUGCAUGCCUUAUGCAGUUUUUUGACAUGCAAUUAUAUUAGGUAAAUUAGUUCACAAGGGCAAAAAAAGAUACAGGUGAUUUUUGAAUUAGCUACCUAAGAUAAAAGAAGAGAAAAAGAAAGGAAAGCAAGAAGACAUUAAGUUGAAAGAUAUUCUUCAACAUUAUUAACAUCUUCCUAAAAGGAAUUAUUUUUUCAGGUUUCAGUAGGUUAUUCCUGACCAUGAGGAGUUCCUUAAAUUCCAAUUGUCUUAUGGUCGAACAUUUUAUGCAAUUGCUUUCUAGAAAAAGCAUUGAUUUUACUGUUUUGUAUUAGAUUUCUUGUUUUCUGAUGUCUCCUUUUCGUCUAACUCAAUUACAUUGGUUACAGAAUGGUGCAUAACCUGUACAUGUCAAUCUCUGAGAGAAAAAUUGGCAAGAAAUGCUUCCUAAUGAGCUAUCUUCCUACACAACCAUUCUGUCUUACUGUAAGCUGAAGGCCACAAGAGAACAUUAUGUGCUCUAUGACCAUGACAAAUGAGAAAAAACUAUCAUGAUCUCAUCUCACAAUUGGUGAAAGGAACAAAUGACAAAGGAAGAGGGAACCCUU